CUGGGGCCCAUAUACACACUAUCUGAGUAUAUCGCUUAAACUAAUAGACUAGUUUCCACUUAAAUACCAAUAUUGGAGUAGUAUUUUCUUUGAGUUGCAUAUAAAGAACUCUUAGAACCAAAACUUAAAUAUGUGGAAAGCCUCAGUGAGAGGAAAGUUAGCAGCUGCCUUAUAUUUAUUUCUUCAUCAAUCUGUUAUUCCCUGGUGCCUCUGCAAGGCUAUUUGACAGAUACAAACGAUAAUCACUAGAGAAAAUUGAGGGUCACUCUCUGUUGUCCACAAAUUAUGUGGGAUGGUGACAUCUCAUUCACUGUUCCGUUUUUCUUGAUCCUAGCUAUCUGUAUGGGCAUAUAUGCGUAUAAAUUAGUUAGUUAGAGAAAACAUGAAAGAGGUCUAAUUUGUGAUAGCAGAUUUUGUGAGGUAAGAUUUACGUUAUCCUCCAGAAGUUUGUUUUCCUCUCGCAGCAGUUUUUCCUGCAAAAAGGGGAUUGUCAUGUGCAGUCUAAUGGAUAAUUUAACAUGAUCUUAAUUCAUCCUAAAACAGUUAAGGAUAUCUGAUGAGAACUGUUGAUUACAAAGCUACACAGAGCUGUAGAAAGCAGGGAUGGCUAUUAACUCCGUCGACUUAAAAGAGCGGAAACAAUUCUAUGAGGUUUGAUCAAAUGAGAAGUGUAGAGUAUUAAAUCUGGUAGUCAAUUAAGUCAUAACACACUUUUACCAGCCUAUCAAGAAACUGACAAGGACAAGUGGAUGUUUUACGCCUCUUUAUAUUCCUUUUCCACAAUCUAUGUUGCUCAGACUUGCCAAAAAAAUUGUUGCACCCGUGGUGGAUCCUCGAAAAGUGUUCUACUUUUGGAGGGGUCCAACCCCACCUAACGGUAUGUCUGAAGACUCAGAGCAACAUAGUCCACAAUAAGCUACUGCCUGGAUUUGAUAGACUUUAUUAAGCUUAUGCAUUUUUUUAACAUUAACAUACUCAAGCACUAGUCCUCAGUUGAAACCAAUGAUGAUUUGUUCAACCCCGGAAAAGAGGAUGAGUUCAACCAGAAUUGUACAGCUCUAGGAGAUGAAAAGAUGCUACUCCCCGUGUUUCAAUUUGUUUGUUUUACUUUCCUUUAUAGUCCAUUUAAAAAAGAAUGUCUCUUUCCUUUUUUGCAACUCUUUAAAUCCAACUUUCUACAUGGCAUGUUUAAGACCA
This is a long non-coding RNA of Lycium ferocissimum, 1197 nucleotides long. RefSeq lists it as uncharacterized. The transcript has 2 exons. NCBI's taxonomy places the organism in Eukaryota, Viridiplantae, Streptophyta, Magnoliopsida, Solanales, Solanaceae. The record is from RefSeq and is a predicted model, not a curated record.